Molecule: long non-coding RNA, 540 nt
Organism: Melanotaenia boesemani (Boeseman's rainbowfish)
Lineage: Eukaryota; Metazoa; Chordata; Actinopteri; Atheriniformes; Melanotaeniidae
Exons: 2
Source: RefSeq, a predicted model, not a curated record
UUUUCAACAAGAAAAACCUCCAACGAAAAAUAGUUUUAUUAGAGGAAAGCUUGUAAAGAUGUGUACAAAACAGACUUUCUUCCAAGGUGUUUUGUCGUUAAAAAUUAGAUAAACACAAUAUUAAUAUUUGAAAUAAACGAAAUGAAAAGGGAAACUUAACAGUUUUGACACCACCCUCUUGUCAACUAAGAUAACCUCCAUCAAAAACUGGAAUUUUGGAGGAAAUCUUGGGAAGAUGUAUACAAGAGAGACCUUCUUCCAAGGUGUUCUAGUGUCAAAAAAGGAUCUAAUUUCAAACGUAUCAAUACAUAAGGUAACUGAAAUUAAAUUCAACGCAUGAACACUAUGUGGAUACAUGACGUAUAAAAUUAAAGACAACAAGACAUACCAGUUUUCAGACCACACUCUUGUCAACAAGAAAAACCUCCAACGAAAACUAGUUUUAUUAGAGGAAUGCUUGUAAAGAUGUGUACAAACAGACUUUCUUCCAAGGUGUUUUGUUGUUAAAAAGUUAGAUUAACGCAAUAAAUAUUUGAAAUA